Molecule: transfer-messenger RNA, 384 nt
Filed under: Lachnospiraceae
Lineage: Bacteria; Bacillati; Bacillota; Clostridia; Lachnospirales
Also listed under: 1 other name
Description: Mobilitalea luporum Standard tmRNA
Rfam family: transfer-messenger RNA
About the family: Bacterial tmRNA, also known as 10Sa RNA or SsrA, is named for its dual tRNA and mRNA-like properties. Its role is to liberate the mRNA from a stalled ribosome.
Source: RNAcentral
GGGGUUGUACUGGUUUCGACGGGGGUUUUGAAAUUGCGGUAGCCAUUCGCAGACUAGGACUGCGUCAACAACUUAGAAAUUAAAAAUAAACGCAAACGAUAAUUACGAAUUAGCAGCUGCCUAAGUGCAGCGCUUGUCGGCCUUAAGCGGCCCGCGGCUUAAGAUCCCGGCAUCAAAUUAGCGGGGACCUUUAUCUCCAAAGCUUUGAGGAGAUAAAAGAUUUAUGAAGCUACCAAAAUCGGAAGCCUGUCUGUCGGCGGCCGAUGGAGGGAACAACAUGUAAUAGUACUUGUACUAGAGGCAUGUAAAAAAGAUAGACUGUAAUGGGAGAAGCUGCAAUGGAAGGGCUUUCGGACGCGGGUUCGACUCCCGCCAGCUCCAUUG